Molecule: long non-coding RNA, 10093 nt
Organism: Tympanuchus pallidicinctus (lesser prairie-chicken)
Lineage: Eukaryota; Metazoa; Chordata; Aves; Galliformes; Phasianidae
Exons: 9
Source: RefSeq, a predicted model, not a curated record
AGAGUCGGCGAGGGAGAGGGAGGCAGGUUCAAUUAUCUAAACAAAGAAAUCAUGGCGGAGUGUUUACAUUUGGCUGCCCAAAGCCUGUCGGAUUACGGACCCCCCCCCAAACACACCCGGCCCUCCCGGCCCCCCGCAGUAGCGGCGUGCCGGAGCCCGCCCGCCGACACCUCGCCGCGGCCCGGAGUCUGAAACAGCUGCUUUGAAGAGAUCUUUCACAUGAAUGACUAGACUGUGAAUUGCUAAGACUACCCAUCACAUCACACCGGCGGAAGGGUGAAGCUGUGGGCCACUGAGCACCGAUUUCUCUCAGUACCACAAUUAUGGAGACACCUGUGCUUAAUAACAAUGUGCUGUGCUACCUUGCAAAUUGCAGGACGGCGGCCUGGUGCAAGAUGCGCAGAUGGCCGUCGCCUCCCCUGCAGGCAGCCCCCACCUCCAGCUUAGCUCCAGGAGGUGCUCCGAGCUCAGUGUUCCCCACAUCCCCCCCUCCAGUGCCCUCUGAAUUCUUUCAGACUGCUGAUAAGAAGGAACAGAUGGUAGCACCAUCCUGUCUCAGCACCAAACACUGUCUGGGAGAUGUAUGCAAUGUAAAAUGCAUCCCUGUGUGGAGAAGCAGAUAGUGCUCCUGCAAAGUGUCAGCAUGGUGGAUAUUAUGGCAGAUUUCUACAGCCAAGACACAAAUGUUGACAGAUUUCCAGAAUGCCCUUCCACAGAACACGGAGCAUCCUUGUGCCACAUUCCUUCACCACAGCAAUCGCUGGCUGUCUUAGAGCCACAGUGACAGAGGCACCUUAGGUGACUUUAAUCUGUAAUAUCAGCAAUAAUCACCGUGGUAUUGUUGCCUAGGCAUUCCUGAAGAGUCAGAAGUGGACUGUAAUUGAAGAGUUCAUUACCAAGAUCAGUUGGCUCCUUGAUUACUGUGGCAAGGUGAAAUAUAUAUCCUCACCAAAAAGCAACGGCUAAACCUUUAGAGAAGUCACCCACUUUUCACUCUUUUUCAUUAGGACCCCGACAAGCUUGUCAGCAAAAUUAAAGGUAUGUCAUUCACAUCGUGCAUGCAUUGCAAAGGACUAUAAACCUGCCAACCCCUUUGAUGAAAUAAAAGGGUUUUAUUUAUGAUUCAUGUAGGAAUAUGAGGUUAUUUUUAUUCUGCCAGUACACUAAUAAUCAGACAAGAGCUCAGGAAAUGAGAAGGCAAACUGACAGGGAGGUUCUGAUAAAGGGGAACCCUCUGGGGUAUUUUGCCCCCUUUGUAAUCUCUUCCUUUUUAGUGAGAGGUUAUAAGCAUGGCUUAGCAUGAUCUUGCAACUAGCUUGGCUUGCAGGAACAAAGAGAACAGCUACCUAGCAGGACCUGAGGUAUAAUUCCACAAGAAAAAGAAAAUGCUUCCACCAGAUAGAUCUGCAUUGCCACAGUGAUGUGAAUGGGAGUACCCAAUCUGGUUUUCCAAGAGCACAAUGAGUUGUAAAGACACCCUACUUUUCUACUUGCUUUCCUACUGGGCAACAUAACUAAUCUGAGCAACAAGAAAGGAGACCAUGAAACUCAUACAGAGCCCUUGCAAAUUUGUUACCAAUUUGUUUUAUUCUAAUUUCUGCAGGACUCAAAGCAGGAUGUUUUCAAACUGCUCCCAGCCUAGUGGAACUUGAGGUACAGCAGCACAGUGACAGGAGGUUGGGGCAAUAACUCCCUUCACAGUCCCUGAUCAACAUGUGUGCUUGCAGAAGAGCUAUGCUGCAGGUUGCAUUUCAAGAUAUGCUUUGCCCUUGGUGUUUCAGUGUUUUGGCAGUCUGAAGCUGCUUCAGUUCUAACGCAGCUCAGUGAAACUUCUGGAAGUGUGUUUUGUGCACAUUGGUUUAAGCUGUCACUCAUGCCACCAGCACCACCGUGAUUACAGAAACACUCCCUGCAAGUGAAAAGGUAUCACUGUGCUAGCUGGCUGCCCUUAAGUACGGUAGUUUGCUCAACAGUAGUGUGUUGGCAGGAAAACACAGACUAGCAAAAUAUAUGCAGGAUGAAGUGAAACAAAGUUCACUGGAGGAAAGAAAAUAAUACUAAUCCUUCAUUCAAUAAGCAGCGAGUUAAGUACAUUUUGCAUGUUGAAGAAAUGUAAGAGCAAAGGGAAGAAAGCACACAUAUAAAGGUGGUGUGAACGCCUUCCUCUCUAAAGACAACAUAUGGGGCAUUUAGAUAUGAAUAAUCCCAGGAGUUAUACCCAAGCUGCUAACAUGAAAUGUAGCACCUACUUUCAGACUCCACAGAAUUUCAGGGUGUUUGAGUUCCCUCUGACCUGAGCAUCCCCCAAAGACACAUUGCUAACAUUUUCAUGGCUUGCUCAAGUAGCUGAAUAGACCAGUGCUUGAGGUGGGAUUACAUUGAAUCUCCAGCUCUUAAUUUUCCUUAUUCAGAUUUGCACCAGGUUUGAGAUGUUUGGAUUGGUAAGGUGAGGCUGGAUAUGAAAGGAUGAGCCAUGGUCCAGGCAGCAAAGGUGAGCUGAACAGUCUGGUUUCUGGACAUUAAGCCAACCUCUGUGACUGUCUCGGGCUUCUCCAUGGUGCCAUCUCUGAGGCUUGUCCUACACCAUCCUACUGAUGCUAAGGCAUUCAUGUUGCAGGGGGCCUUGGACAAAUACAGACACCUACUGCUCUGCUGUCCACAGUGUUUUACCUCUGUACCACAUGACACCUGAAAGAGAUUCUUUAACAAAUGCUUCCAAAAGCAUUUCUGAUGAUGUAAAUCUCUUGAUGGCAAAACAUGCAUCCAUUAGCAGAAGAGCUCCAGGACAAAGGCAGUACUUGGCAUUAUUUUCUGUGCCUUCUCAAGGUGUGGCUGGAUAUCAGGGCUGGGAUCAGAUCCUGCUGACUGCAGAGCACCAGGUGCCAGUCUCUUCAGAGGAGCCAUCACCUGGAAGGAACUGCCUGGGCUUUUGGGUGCUGUGUAUUACUGGAAGGACUCACAGUAUCCCCAAGGCAUUGCUGUCCCUUUAAAACUCUGCUUUCUUGUGUUGACUUCAUGAUUUGCAAUAAAGCAUAAUUUUAUUUCUCUCAGCUAAUUGCAGACUGCUCCCUUCCACACUCUUGAUCUUUGCACACAACCAAAGGCAUUGCUACAAGCCAGAUGCGAGGUUUAGGAGGCUGUGAUCUGUGCUGGCUGUUCCCCAGAGCAUCCAGGUACUUCUCCUCGCCCCUCUCCAGCCUGCUGUUACGCUGGGUGCGGAGCAGGUAACUAUGUCAUCAGCCCAAGAUUUCAUUCUUGCAAAGCACGGAGAUUCAUUAUACUUACUUUAUCAGCAGUAAGGUUUACUGCCGAAUCCAUGAGAGAUAUUCGUGUGAAACAUGAGUAGAGAGUGAGGCAUUGCAUCUUUUCAUUAAUAAGCCCUCUUCUGGGAUCCGGCAUUAGUGAGAUUCAGCGGAUCAUAGAGCACAGGGGUAUCAUUUUUACAUGAUUACUCUAAAUUCUUAAACCAGAGGCUUAAGAGAGAGGCUUCGUACAAAGGCAGCUGUGGGAAUUGUUAAGUGAUUGGCACAGCACUGAGAUGGGCUGAACCACUGCAGGUACCUCCAGCCAUGGGGGUACCAGCAGCAUCUCAUUACCAACCAUGGAGGGAAAUGCCAAAGAGGGACUGUGUCAGCUGGAGGAGCUGUGCUAACCCUGCAAAAUACCUCUGUAGUUCUGUCCCUCCUCCCAAAUAAAUCUCUUGUCAUAGUACUUUGGCAGGGUACCACAGGCUAAGCUGUUCCCUUUCUGUGCUGUUGUAUCUGGGCUUAUUUUUGCCCUGUCUGAGCCUUCCUUCACUAGGACAGCUGCUAAAAUAUUGCCUGUGCAACCUCCACUCCCAAGAAAUUAGCUGUUGGCUGAGCAGAGUGUUGAGAUACUUUUAAGAUAUGUUUUCUUUGGGUGAGAAGCUUUGGGCAGCCCAGAGGAUAAGCAUGCAACUAGAACAUCUUCGCCGGGUGGUAAAGAAAGGACCUGUAGACCUACACUGCUUUCUUGAGGUCACUGCAUAUUCUCUCUGUGAUUUCAUGCACAUCCAGGCAAAAAUGUUGCCUUGUUGCCUUUGCUGCUGCAUCCUGUCCUGCCAGGCUGCGUACUAACCAAAAUCAAGGAGCUGAUGUGGACAAAAUAAAGUCUUCUCUUUUUCCCAGGGUUGGUUUUCGUCUGUGUAAGUUCCUCAGCCUAUUACAAAAUACAGGUACAGAAAUGCUUAUUCCAUCAUGAGAAGAAGGACCAUGCAGUGAAAGAAAGACUGAACUGCUUCUGUCAUUGACAGCAUCAGCUUGUAUUGGCCAAACACAUUGGCUGAGCUGUGCCUUCCACACCCCGUUCAGAAAAUGGAGAUCUUACCAAUUCUUCUUAGAAUCUUUAAGGACGAUGUCGUCGGCCUUUCCAAGUGUAUUUGCACUUGUCCAUAGAACAACAGAGGAGGCAUUUCAUUUGCAUAAACUGUGAAUAGUUUGGCUGGGUAGAUGGGCAAGAAAUAAAUCCUUGAUUUUAACAAAAAGCACUUUGAUGGGGGAUCAACUCGAUGGGAGAAUCAACAAAGCAAGUAAGAAGCGUGAUGCCAGACUUCAAACCACAACCUGUGUGUAUUUUCCUGGGUCCAUACUUACCCAUAACAACUGCUCUGAUGGCAACAGUUGCCAGAGUCAUCCAGUCAUCCCAGGGUACCCUUAUCUCUGAAAUACAAAGGUGACUGCUGCUCAGUUACAUCUGAUGAAUGUUAGUGGAAAAAGAAUUACUGCACUAUUUUCCCAACAUGUCUAAGUCCUGCAGAAACCUCCAGUAUCCCAGUCAGUGCCUGAUCCUGAUCACUGAUAUUGGAGAAAGGUGAACAAAAGUGAAAUUCACUUUUUGAUACAACAGACCUAUGAAACCCAAGAACCAUACUGGAAAAUUUGGAAGUAUCCUGCCAUAAAGUAUUCCUGGCCUUGUUGGUAUUAAUCAACCAAUUCUCAGGUUUUUAGAAACAACUGAUUUUAGGCAGAGAUGUUCCUCUUUGAGAUGACUUACUUCAUCUAGUGCUUCCUGUAAGUCCAAUAAGAAAAAGAAAAAUGAGAAGCAGGAAGGUGGGGUCAUGUGGGGCACUGAAUAAUCCAGAUCAAACAGCAAAGAGCGCCCGAUUAGAAGCCAACGCAUUUCUCUUUUCAGUAUCUCUGAAAUUGUUUGGCAGACUUAAUUAGAAACAGGUGCAAGCUAUAAUAUUUAUUGCAACAAUGCAUCAUUUUUGUCUGUUUCCAAGGUCAUCAUUCUAGCCAAUGGAAAGCCAACAACCCACAGGGAGUAUAACUUAGUCUAUAUGGGUAAAAUGUGAAUUACUUAACCCUUUAUCUAAUGGAAUGAAAUACAACAUUGCACAAAGCACAAAGCUCACAAAAUGGAAAAUCCUGUGAGAAAUCUUUCUUGAUAACAGGUUCCAGUGAAGUAAGUGACAUCACCAGCUGAGCUAAUAGCCAGCCUUAGGUAAAAUGGAGUAGGUACAGAUAAGGAAUGAGAAAAACACAUUUUUUUUUACUACUUUUCUUUCAGAGGCCUGGGUUUAUGUAGAAUUUGCUGCAGUAGGAGACCAUGAUUGCAUGUUAUCUAGUGCCUAUGCUAUGGUUGGGUAUCAUGCGCUAUGUUCUGCUAAGAUUUAGCAGUAUAUUUCUUCGGCUGCAUCUGUCUCCAGUGCAAUCAGGCUACAGCUGCACUUGUACGGGAGCACCUUAAAGCAGCCUCUGUAAGCUGCCAGGUAAUCGUGCCAGGGUUUUCCAGUGGGAGAAGCCUGGAAGAUGAAGCUGUAGAUCCUUCCUGCCUGUUAAGCCAGCAGACUCAGAGAGACUAGAUCUACAUUUUCCUCUCCAUCCAAGGGUAAGUGUGCCAAACGUGAUUCCAUCUGGCCCCAUGGUGAUUUUUUGUGGUUAAAACCUGAAGGGCCCUUGGUUACAAUAAAGCCCCACUUCCAAAACUGUCACUUAAUUCCCUCUUGUGAGUUCUCGUAAUCUCUGUGUGACUUUUUUUGUUCUUUUGUGAUCAUUUGCAAGUGAGGGUCUUCUCUGAAAUUCUGUUUCAUUCCUUUUAAAUGUGACAAAGAUAAAUAUGGAAACAAAGCAGCAUACUUUAAUAGUAGAGAUGUGUGAAAUUGUGAGAUUUUUGCCUUUUUGCAAAAGCCGCAAGAAGAUGCCAAUAUUUCUGCAGACGGAAACUAUUUUUUCCACCUCCAAAUUGUCACACAGCAUAAAAUCUGUGGCUGUUUGUGUGUCGUUGGAUAAAGGUAGCAAGGAAAUACAGGUUCCCUCUUGAGAGUUAGGGGACCCUGGCUUCUAACUUGUUCUUUUGGCUACCACAGUUCCCUGAAAGGCACCUCAGCACCUAGGCAGCACCACUGUCCUCAUUAAUUGUGCUCUUUCUACAGGGAAUUACUAAUGCCCUCUGUGAUCUCAGGAACCAUUCUUAAAAAAGACUAUCAUCUGUCCAUAAAAUUCAGAGGUAAAAUAGUCCAAGCACAUGAUACUGAUGGAUUUGGGAUGGAAUUGUGCUUGUUUAUUGAGACAGGUCCUACAGUCAUAUUUAGAGAUCUCAGCAGAAUCAAAGCUGAUGUUUUGAGAGGACUCCUCUGCAGCACCUCAAUGUCCCAGGACUGAAUCCUUGAGAAGACCCGACUCAAGUUUGAAACUUUGCAGCUCGACAUCCAUGCUGAUUUUAUUCUCUUCCUUUGAAUGUAAUAUCCCACGUUUCAACUGCGUGUCUCAUGGUACAUGAUCUUUUAACUGCAGGCUGGUGAGAUUUUACAUCAUAUGAGCGUCACAGAUUUGCUCAGGUAAUUUGGUUCCUGAAGUGUUGGUAACAUCCUGUCACAGUCAUUUUGCCCUUUUCUUUAUCUUUCUCCCUGAAAGUGCAGAUGUUAUAGGGAGCUAGCUCAGAACUGGGGAUCUGUUCCAUUGUUAACGUUCAGGCUCUUGCCAACACAGGUGUGUAUGAUGAGGAGAAUUAGGAAAAAAGGGAGACAGUGAUUGCCCAAAGCCAGCCAGGAUGGCAGCUGCCAUCCUGCAGAGGACCACUGGCACCAGGAGCUGGUCAAAUUGGGAAGGGCAGAGGAGAGCCUCCCUGCACUGUUAAAGGUAUUUCAGGCCAGUGUUUGCACAGUUCUCCAGAUCCCCAGUGUGAAUAAAUGGGUAGGGAUGUGAGUGAGAAAGGAAGGCUUAUGCCAGGGAACUGAGCGAUGUGUAAUAUUGCCGAGCAAGCUUGAGACUUCUGGAAAUGCACUAUGCACACUUGGAAAAGGCAGUGGUCGUUCUGGGAGGCUCUGCUCAGGCAUCGCAUUUAGCUCUGUGUCCUGGCUGCCAAGCCACACUUGAAUUGUAUUGCAUUUGGAUUCUGGCAGAUCAAGUUACAGGUGAUGGCUGGGUUAGCUGCCUUGGUCUUGGGUCAUUCCUGCAUUGUACUUAACUGAAUAAUACCCUCCCUUCCUUCUUCUUUUUUUUUUUUUUUCUCUCAUUGAUCAAGCUGCUUUUGAGAAAAGUGAUACUUUGCAUAUCUGGCUAAGUGCUGUUAACAGUCUCUGCCUGCGGUUUGUUAAAAUUAAAAAAAAAAAAAGGAAAAAAAGAAAAAAAAGAAGUGUGAUCUUGCUGGAGAAGUAAUUUGCUUCUCUCCAACCAAUGAUGGCUUGCACUUUAUGCAAAUUGGUAUCUAGGGAUAACAAAUCCCAUUUAAUACAUAUGCAUAGUUCAUAAAAAAAAACGACAUGAGAGAAAGAGAAAAAAGAUAAAGCAACGAGUCAGCAAAAGAACAGGUUCCGAGGAAAUUUAUUGUCCCAAAUUGGACAUUUGUAACAGAUGAUGUGAACAAGUGUUAACUUUGUUUUCAGCAGCUCUUCACGUACAUUCACUAGACAUCACACAGAUUAUGUUUUAAGGAUCUGAACUGUAAUAAAAAAAAGUGUCUGUGGGCUUUGGAGUGUUGUGUUCCAUAUGGUUGGGGAAGUGCGGAGUUAUUGCGACAAGCAUCUUGUGAAGCUCAUUACGCACGGCGGUGUUAGAUGCGAAUUGCUGCGCAUCGCUAUAGGGUACGUACAUGACAUCCCACAGUCAGCAGAUAGCAACUGGAAAUGAAAGAUAUGAAGGCACAGAGUACAGCUUCAGGGAACAUGUUAGACAAAACAUCUGCUGGUAUCAGAAAGCUGCAUUAUCAGAUCAUUGUGGCCAUGAAUUUUUUAUAAAGACUUUUUUUUUUUUUUUUUUAAAGCUGCAACUUUGAAAGUGACAUUUUGAGGGAAAGUUUUUGACUGAAGUGUGAUGUCAGGAGAAAGGGCAGUCUAGUUUAUUAUCUGCGUGAGAGCCAAUACUGGCAGCCUGAAUCGGCUCCUCUCUCCAAGCAGUGCAGCUGGCCAUCAAAAAGUACAAGUGCUUGUUCCCUCCUGAUCCUGAUGUCUGAUAAAACUCUGACCCAGAUGACAGGUGGUGGCUUUACCACCAGACUCCUCAGCAAGGAGUUUUCAAGUUUUGUUCCUGAAGGGCUACUUUGUCACAUGGCUGGGCACUGCUGAUUAAAAUUAACCUAAAAUUUGUGCUUAGGAGAUAGAAGACGACAUGGCUUGCAUGCAAAGUCCAGAGAGGAGAGCUCAGCCUCCUUGCUCAACUCCCAUGCAGUUGGGACCUGUACAGUGCCUGUGGCAAAUGCUGCCAGCCCUCUAACUCUGCCAAGACGGCCUCAACCAGGAAAGUUUUGCCACUGUGCUGGUUGUCCAGCCCAAGAGCUGUGCCUGGGGAGUGCUGCUGUAAGCCACAGCAUGUCAGUGCUGAGAGGGGCCUCCACCUACUUAACAUUCCUGGCAUUUGUAAGAGCGGUGAGAUGGCAUGAAAUGUAUGUGCAUAUUGGAACUAUUUACAUUAAAACAGACAGGCAUUUUCCAGUCUCUCAUCUGUCCAGCCCCAGCUCUGGAUUUUCAUUUGUAUCACUUGCACUGGAAGGUGAAACAACCUCCUCAUCUACAGCAACAGGCACUGAUGGAAACCCACCUCCCAUUGCUCUGCAGCUGGUCUCUGUCUCUCCAAUGAAAUCCCUCAAAACUACACAGAAAAAAGUGAGCAAGCUGCCUCCCCAUGGUGAUUUACAAAUUGUCACCUCAAAGAGGAGACCAGGUACUCCUUGAUGUUUUGACAUCCUUCCUAAGCCUUCUCCUUCUGUGUGCUAAUAUAUGGGAGAAGGAAUGUAAGGUCUGGAAACAUCGCAAUGCACGGAAGGACAGAGUUGCCAGCAGCUACUUUUUGUGUAACACUGGGCUCAGUCACUCACCCGUGUCCUCCCCCCCAUACAAAAAUAACUUGGUCACUAAUGGCUUGUUGUGAUUUCUUCCUUAGGGUGAGAUUUUAGAAAACACUUGAGGAUAGCUUUAAUGAAAACACAAACAGACCAAAUCUGAGCAAUCUGUAUUUUUUUCUCUUUCAAAUAGAGUUUGAAUCCAUAUUAUGAACUGAAAACUUUGAUUCUACACUUGCUUGUUUUUGUGGAGAGAAAAGCUGAAUAUGGAUUGUUUUUCCGAGAGGUGCCUCCACCACAACAACUCCCAUCUGUGCAACUGUAUGUGAAGUCCUCAAACCCUGGAGUGUUCUGGUUUGCAGUGGGACAAGGGGCAGAUCUGGCCUGAGCUGAACACUGGUCAUCAAGGACAUAGUUUCAGAUUGGAUUUGCGCUAUGCUUUGAAAGAUUUCCUUGGUCAUUCCUCAACUUUUCUAUAUGCAGUCCUUCUGAUAGCAAAAAUGUUUCUCAGUAGGAACGUGAACGUGGAUGAAGAGCCUGGCGUGGAAAACCACUGAGUUCUGACACAUUCCAUUUGCUCCUAACUCUUUGAUUUCUGCUCACAGAAUCUGACAUAUGUUGGGCAUUGACCUUGCUCUUUUAAAUAAGCUUAUUUUAGAAGACCUUUGCAAAAUGCUGUCUGUUUGGCCUCGAUGUAAGCUGUGAGAGAAAUGUAGUACAAACACAGAAGUUGUAUGUUUUGAAUGCCAGAGAUGUUACACCAAAGAGCAGUUGGUGUGAUCUAUACUGCUGAAUGCUUUCUGUGCUGAUAGCAAGGCUGUGUCCUUAAAGAAAAUAAAGUUGUACUUCCUGCAUU